GCGAAAUAGGUUAAGAUACGCUUUUAAUGAUUUCUAUAUCUUGAUUUGUUCAAGUGGAGUAUAGCAGAAUACUCUUUAUGGAAAUCACCUAUGUGAGUGAGAAGGGGCCGCUUCUAAGAGAAUUAGGUAAACAUGAAUUCUCUAAAAAUCACUCAUGAACCAGGAGGUGUCCAAGGCCAAAAUGGACACAAACGUGAGAACCAACUGUGUUCGAAGAAAAACUGUGUGACUUCUAUUGUCUAGGUUUCCACAAACGGCUGACUGUUCAAAGCAACUUGCUACUGAUUGGCUAAGGAAU
This 298-nucleotide long non-coding RNA is filed under the name Olea europaea (common olive). Its description in RNAcentral is "long non-coding RNA (OEUR_LNC015070)". The record is from RNAcentral. Lineage: Eukaryota; Viridiplantae; Streptophyta; Magnoliopsida; Lamiales; Oleaceae.